GGCCGCCUGGGCGAUCAGGUCGCGCAAUGCGGUCUUGGUGGGGUCGUCAAGCUUCUCGCCGAUCUUCGGCGGGCGGGCA
RNAcentral lists this transfer RNA (79 nucleotides) under Azospirillum oryzae. RNAcentral describes it as "tRNA-Thr". The record is from RNAcentral. Lineage: Bacteria; Pseudomonadati; Pseudomonadota; Alphaproteobacteria; Rhodospirillales; Azospirillaceae.